AGAGUUUGAUCCUGGCUCAGAAUCAACGCUGGCGGCGCGCUUAACACAUGCAAGUCGAGCGAGAAAGGGGAGCAAUCCCUGAGUAAAGCGGCGUACGGGUGAGUAACACGUGGAUCAUCUACCUUUUAGUGGGGAAUAACCCUGGGAAACCGGGGCUAAUACCGCAUAAUCCUGUGAAGGGAAAGCAGCAAUGCGCUGAAAGAGGAGUCCGCGGCCGAUUAGCUAAUUGGUGAGGUAAUGGCUCACCAAGGCGAUGAUCGGUAGCCGGCCUGAGAGGGCACACGGCCACACUGGCACUGAAACACGGGCCAGACUCCUACGGGAGGCAGCAGUGGGGAAUCUUGCACAAUGGAGGCAACUCUGAUGCAGCGACGCCGCGUGAGCGAUGAAGCCCCUCGGGGUGUAAAGCUCUUUCGGCAGGGACGAUAAUGACGGUACCUGAAGAAGAAGCUGCGGCUAACUACGUGCCAGCAGCCGCGGUAAUACGUAGGCAGCGAGCGUUGUUCGGAAUUACUGGGCGUAAAGAGUGUGUAGGCGGUGCUAUAAGUUCGGUGUGAAAUCUCCCGGCUCAACUGGGAGGGUGCGCCGAAAACUGUAGUGCUCGAACGUGGGAGAGGAAAGCGGAAUUCCUGGUGUAGCGGUGAAAUGCGUAGAUAUCAGGAGGAACACCUGCGGUGUAGACGGCUUUCUGGACCAUUGUUGACGCUGAGACACGAAAGCGUGGGUAGCAAACAGGAUUAGAUACCCUAGUAGUCC
Molecule: ribosomal RNA, 756 nt
Filed under: uncultured bacterium
Lineage: Bacteria
Description: bacterial SSU rRNA
Rfam family: Bacterial small subunit ribosomal RNA
Source: RNAcentral